AGUGAACGCUGGCGGCAGGCCUAACACAUGCAAGUCGAGCGGCAGCGCGUCCGACCACCCUCGGGUGGUCGGAUGGCGGCGAGCGGCGGACGGGUGAGGAAUGCAUCGGAAUCUGCCUCGUUGUGGGGGAUAACGUAGGGAAACUUACGCUAAUACCGCAUACGACCUACGGGUGAAAGUGGGGGACCUUCGGGCCUCACGCGAUGAGAUGAGCCGAUGCCGGAUUAGCUAGUUGGCGGGGUAAAGGCCCACCAAGGCGACGAUCCGUAGCUGGUCUGAGAGGAUGAUCAGCCACACUGGAACUGAGACACGGUCCAGACUCCUACGGGAGGCAGCAGUGGGGAAUAUUGGACAAUGGGGGCAACCCUGAUCCAGCCAUGCCGCGUGUGUGAAGAAGGCCUGGUUGUAAGACUCUUCGUCCGGGAGGAAUACGCGACAGAGUAAUACCUACGUGUGGA
Molecule: ribosomal RNA, 458 nt
Filed under: uncultured bacterium
Lineage: Bacteria
Description: bacterial SSU rRNA
Rfam family: Bacterial small subunit ribosomal RNA
Source: RNAcentral